GGUCAAGCGAAUAAGCGCAUACGGUGGAUGCCUUGGCGGCAACAGGCGAUGAAAGACGUGGUAGCCUGCGAUAAGCCUCGGGGAGCUGGCAAACAAGCUUUGAUCCGAGGAUGUCUGAAUGGGGAAACCCACCUCGCAAGAGGUAUCCUUAUCUGAAUACAUAGGGUAAGGAAGCAAACCCGGGGAACUGAAACAUCUCAGUACCCGGAGGAAAAGAAAUCAACCGAGAUUCCGCUAGUAGUGGCGAGCGAACGCGGAGCAGCCCUUAAGUCACAUGUGUUUUAGCAGAACGGUCUGGAAAGUCCGGCCAUAGCGGGUGAUAGCCCCGUAUGUAAAAGGGCGCAUGUGAUGAAAUUGAGUAGGACGGGACACGUGUAAUCCUGUCUGAACAUGGGGGGACCAUCCUCCAAGGCUAAAUACUCGUUGCCGACCGAUAGUGAACCAGUACCGUGAGGGAAAGGCGAAAAGAACCCCGGAGAGGGGAGUGAAAUAGAACCUGAAACCGUAUGCGUACAAGCAGUCGGAGCCCCGCAAGGGGUGACGGCGUACCUUUUGUAUAAUGGGUCAGCGAGUUAUUUUCAGUGGCGAGGCUAACCGUUUAGGGGAGCCGUAGGGAAACCGAGUCUUAACAGGGCGACCAGUCGCUGGGAAUAGACCCGAAACCAGUCGAUCUAUCCAUGGCCAGGCUGAAAGUGGGGUAACACCCGCUGGAGGGCCGAACCAACCACUGUUGCAAAAGUGCGUGGAUGAGCUGUGGAUCGGAGUGAAAGGCUAAACAAGGCUGGAGAUAGCUGGUUCUCCUCGAAAGCUAUUUAGGUAGCGCCUCGUGAAUCACCCUCGGGGGUAGAGCACUGUUACGGCUAGGGUUCCGUCUAGGGAUACCAAACCGUUGCAAACUCCGAAUACCGAGGAGUGCGAUCACGGGAGACACACGGCGGGCGCUAACGUUCGUCGUGAAGAGGGAUACAACCCAGACCGCCAGCUAAGGUCCCAAAAUUACAGCUAAGUGGUGAACGAUGUGGGAAGGCAUAAACAGCCAGGAUGUUGGCUUAGAAGCAGCCAUCAUUUAAAGAAAGCGUAAUAGCUCACUGGUCGAGUCGGCCCGCGCGGAAGAUUUAACGGGGCUCAAGCUGUAUACCGAAGCUGCGGAUGUGUGCAUUCC
Molecule: ribosomal RNA, 1162 nt
Filed under: Gammaproteobacteria bacterium
Lineage: Bacteria; Pseudomonadati; Pseudomonadota; Gammaproteobacteria
Description: partial 23S ribosomal RNA
Rfam family: Bacterial large subunit ribosomal RNA
Source: RNAcentral